This 740-nucleotide ribosomal RNA is filed under the name uncultured bacterium. Its description in RNAcentral is "bacterial SSU rRNA". It matches the Rfam family "Bacterial small subunit ribosomal RNA", at positions 8 to 796 of the family's 1533-position model. The record is from RNAcentral.
AGAGUUUGAUCAUGGCUCAGAACGAACGCUGGCGGCAGGCUUAACACAUGCAAGUCGAGCGCCCAGCAAUGGGAGCGGCGGACGGGUGAGUAACACGUGGGAACAUGCCUUUCGGUACGGAACAACUGCGGGAAACUGCAGCUAAUGCCGUAUGCGCCCUUACGGGGAAAGAUUUAUCGCCGAAAGAUUGGCCCGCGUCUGAUUAGCUAGUUGGUGAGGUAACGGCUCACCAAGGCUUCGAUCAGUAGCUGGUUUGAGAGAACGACCAGCCACACUGGGACUGAGACACGGCCCAGACUCCUACGGGAGGCAGCAGUGGGGAAUCUUGGACAAUGGGGGAAACCCUGAUCCAGCCAUGCCGCGUGAGUGAUGAAGGCCUUCGGGUUGUAAAACUCUUUUACCAGGGAAGAUAAUGACUGUACCUGGAGAAUAAGCCCCGGCUAACUUCGUGCCAGCAGCCGCGGUAAUACGAAGGGGGCUAGCGUUGUUCGGAAUUACUGGGCGUAAAGCGCGCGCAGGCGGUUCUUCAAGUCAGGGGUGAAAGCCCAGAGCUCAACUCUGGAAUUGCCUUUGAAACUGUAGAACUUGAGUACGAGAGAGGUGAGUGGAAUUCCCAGUGUAGAGGUGAAAUUCGUAGAUAUUGGGAAGAACACCGGUGGCGAAGGCGGCUCACUGGCUCGUUACUGACGCUCAGGCGCGACAGCGUGGGGAUCAAACAGGAUUAGAUACCCUAGUAGUCC